This 253-nucleotide ribosomal RNA is filed under the name uncultured bacterium. RNAcentral's name for it is "partial 16S ribosomal RNA". It matches the Rfam family "Bacterial small subunit ribosomal RNA", at positions 524 to 776 of the family's 1533-position model. The record is from RNAcentral.
UACAGAGGGUGCGAGCGUUAAUCGGAAUUACUGGGCGUAAAGCGUGCGUAGACGGUAGCGUAAGUCGGGUGUGAAAGCCCCGGGCUCAACCUGGGAAUUGCAUUCGAGACUGCUCUGCUAGGGUGCGGAAGAGGGAAGCGGAAUUUCCGGUGUAGCGGUGAAAUGCGUAGAUAUCAGGAGGAACACCUGUGGUGUAGACAGCUUACUGGACCAUUUCUGACGCUGAGACACGAAAGCGUGGGUAGCAAACAGG